CCCUUAGAUGUUCUGGGCCGCACGCGUGCUACACUGAGUGGAUCAGCGGGUCAGGUUGCGCGAAAGCGUUUCCUAAUCUUUAAAUCCGCUCGUGAUGGGGAUUGACGGUUGCAAUUUUCUGUCAUGAACGAGGAAUACCUUGUAAGCGCGGGUCAUCAUCCCGCGCUGAAUAAGUCCCUGCCCUUUGUACACACCGCCCGUCGCUCCUACCGAUUGAGUGGUCCGGUGAGGCUUUGGGAUCUGAGCGGAAAGAGCGUUUCGCUGUUUCUGCUCGGAAAACUCAGUCGAACCUUAUCAUUUAGAGGAAGGAGAAGUCGUAACA
This 322-nucleotide ribosomal RNA is filed under the name uncultured eukaryote. Its description in RNAcentral is "partial 18S ribosomal RNA". It matches the Rfam family "Eukaryotic small subunit ribosomal RNA", at positions 1470 to 1796 of the family's 1831-position model. The record is from RNAcentral.